UUCUUCAAAGGGAACACACAGUCAGUCAAAGCCUCACUUUUCAGUUUUUCUUUUGCAUUGAGCAAGCUGAAGCAUUUCAGCAGUGCAACUCCAGGCCCUUGUUUGCUGGGCUCUAAUGACAUGUGCCAAUAUGGUUCCUUAAAUUACAUCUCUACUAGUCUAAGUAAAAGACAAAACAUAAAAGUCUAUUUCUUGUCAUUUUAAAACUGGAAUUCCAAAAUAUCUAGCUUCCCUUUUGCAAAAACUAAGGACAGUGUGGCCCAAAUGGACAGGAAUCGUGGCACAGAUGCAGAUGAACCUAUACAUAUGUGCCUGAGAAGCAUCAGGGUUCGGGACCUCAGUCCUGCUCUGGAAUAUAGGGUGGGUCUACCUUUUGGUGGGUUACCAAACAACCAAAUGAUGAGAAAUUCACAGAUAAUUGCAGUAGGGUGAUGUAUUACCUUGAAAUAUGGCAGGAUUGACAGAUCUGUCUAAUUUGCAGUCAAAGGUGAUGUUUCGAAUUUUCUUCUUCCUCUUAGACAUGGGUUUCCACAGACAUGGGUUUGGUCCGCAUGGACAUCUCCCACAGGCAUAAAGCACCAAAGGGGUUUUAGGGCUGGGGCCAUGGAAUGUUUUCUCUAGGACAGUGUGCCACAUCAUAGAGUUUUGUAUUGCAAAACUUCUGCUGUUGAUUAAAAUCAGCCUGAUUCCCUGGUCCCUUAGCUGUUGGUCUCUUUUCACUUCAGACAUCACCUUUAAGUUUGUGUUACUAACUAAAUGAAGUAGAAAAGAAAGAUGAGGAGUGUCUAUAGUAUUUGAAAAUGUGAAUAAGUGAUUGUAAAGAUAUUUUUCUCCCCCUGUGGGGCUUUUAUUUGUUUGAUUUUACUAAUUUCUGCUUUUUGAGUAUCUGAACUGCAGGCAAUAGUCAGCAUCACAGAUUCAUAAGGCAGCCAAGUGAUCACUGGUUAAAAUAUGCACACAAAAUUUCUCUUCAGUCCCAACCAAUAUUUUCCUCCAAACAUUUUUUUCUUUCAUUUGACACAGUAAAUCUUUCAUUCUACUACUUUUGUCACAAGUAGCGUAAAACAAAAACAAAUUGUAAAUUAGGAGAACUAAGACAUGUCUUCCUUUUCUAUUUUUCAUACCAACACAAACCCAUGACUGCCCAUUUGGAUCAUAAGGGGAAUGGAAGCUGGACUCAUACUGGAAGUAUGGAAUGGUACAUUCUAAUAAACAAAGAAAGUGCAACAGCCAGAACCACUAUGCAAUACUGUUCCAAACGGAGUGGAGAAGUGCUGUUAAAUCUGUAUGUCUAGGAGGUGUGGUGUGUUUAGCGACUUGAUGUCUGUGUUAUCCAGCACACUGACUUUCCAGAGUCAUCUCCAAGUUGUAAUGAACAACCUCUAUCCUGCUACCAGAGCCCAGAGAGAAAUAAACCAAGACCACCAGCUAAGACAUUAUGUAAUUGCCAUGGAUAUGGACAACGAAUGACCUCAGUGGCAAUGACUCGGGACCAAGUAAUCCCUUUACAGGAAUUACCAACAGAGGAAACUGGAAACUCUAUGGCAUCUCUUUGUCAUCUUUCUCUCCAGAUGGUGCCUCCAAAUCUCUUCUGAAGGGGCUUGUGCAAAACAGAGCAUGUAAGUACUUCUGCUGGUUUUGGAUUAAGCAUCUCUAAUUAUGGUGAACAUUUUGUUUCAAGAUGCUGGAGAAAAAGGUGUCUGCCUCCUCCCCUCCCUCACCUGUCCCUCCCGGCAGUCAU
Long non-coding RNA from Pseudopipra pipra, 1741 nucleotides. RefSeq lists it as uncharacterized. The record is from RefSeq and is a predicted model, not a curated record. Lineage: Eukaryota; Metazoa; Chordata; Aves; Passeriformes; Pipridae. The transcript is spliced from 3 exons.